This 76-nucleotide transfer RNA is filed under the name Planctomycetaceae bacterium. RNAcentral's name for it is "tRNA-Lys". It matches the Rfam family "tRNA". From Rfam's summary of the family: Transfer RNA (tRNA) molecules are approximately 80 nucleotides in length. The record is from RNAcentral. RNAcentral also lists the same sequence under 1 other name. Lineage: Bacteria; Pseudomonadati; Planctomycetota; Planctomycetia; Planctomycetales; Planctomycetaceae.
GCCCUCCUAGCUCAGUUGGUAGAGCAGCUGACUCUUAAUCAGCGGGUCGAAGGUUCGAGUCCUUCGGGGGGCACCA